UACGUAGGGAGCAAGCGUUGUCCGGAAUCAUUGGGCGUAAAGCGCGUGUAGGCGGCCCGGAAAGUCUGGUGUGAAAACUUGAGGCUCAACCUCAAGCUGUCGCUGGAUACUGUCGGGCUUGAGUCCGGAAGAGGAGUGUGGAAUUCCUGGUGUAGCGGUGGAAUGCGCAGAUAUCAGGAAGAACACCAAUGGCGAAGGCAGCUCUCUGGGACGGUACUGACGCUGAGACGCGAAAGCGUGGGGAGCGAACAGG
This 253-nucleotide ribosomal RNA is filed under the name uncultured bacterium. RNAcentral's name for it is "partial 16S ribosomal RNA". It matches the Rfam family "Bacterial small subunit ribosomal RNA", at positions 524 to 776 of the family's 1533-position model. The record is from RNAcentral.